UCACAUGUUUUGAUUUGCUUCUACAACAAU
This 30-nucleotide small RNA is filed under the name Bombyx mori (domestic silkworm). Its description in RNAcentral is "ovarian small RNA-6842". Lineage: Eukaryota; Metazoa; Arthropoda; Insecta; Lepidoptera; Bombycidae. The record is from RNAcentral.